Molecule: unclassified non-coding RNA, 396 nt
Filed under: Hevea brasiliensis (rubber tree)
Lineage: Eukaryota; Viridiplantae; Streptophyta; Magnoliopsida; Malpighiales; Euphorbiaceae
Source: RNAcentral
AGCACUUGAGCAGGGCUUGGUCAAGGGACAGGGAAGUGCCUGCUAAAAAGGAAGAAUGGGAGAUUGACUUGUCUAAACUUGAUAUCAGAUAUGUUAAAGCUCAUGGAACUUAUGGUACUAUUUACAGAGGAAGCUAUGAUGGCAAUGAUGUUGCAGUGAAAGUGCUUGAUUGGGGGGAGGAUGGUGUUUCCUCAGUUGCUGAAAUUGCUGCUCUUCGAACAUCUUUUCGCCAGGAAGUGGCUGUAUGGCAUAAGCUUGACCAUCCCAAUGUUGCAAAGUUUUAUGGAGCAUCAAUGGGGACGUCCAACCUUAAAAUACCUCCCAAGAGCUCAUCAUUCGACAGUAACCAAUCUUUUCCUUCAAGGGCUUGCUGCGUUGUUGUUGAGUAUCUUCCAG